Ribosomal RNA from Physeter macrocephalus (sperm whale), 119 nucleotides. Lineage: Eukaryota; Metazoa; Chordata; Mammalia; Artiodactyla; Physeteridae. The record is from Ensembl.
GUCUAUGGCCGUAGCACCCUGAACGCGCCCGGUCUCCUCUGAUGUGGGAAGCUAAGCAGGGUCGGGCCUGGUUAGUACUUGGAUGAGAGACCGCCUGGGAAUACCGGCUGCUGUAGGCU